RNAcentral lists this long non-coding RNA (507 nucleotides) under Phascolarctos cinereus (koala). RNAcentral describes it as "lncRNA (ENSPCIG00000034656.1)". The record is from RNAcentral. Lineage: Eukaryota; Metazoa; Chordata; Mammalia; Diprotodontia; Phascolarctidae.
UGGAGGAGGAAAGAGGUAAGAAGAAAAUGGUGACAAGCUGGACAGCUAACAGAAGGGUGAAGUUAGGAGGCCUGAAGUCAAGCCACUAGCAUCAUUAUCCAAAAGUUAUUUUUGGGGAGAAAUAACAACAUUUUCAAAACUAAUUGAACUAGAGACCAUGUUUAGGUUGGAAAUACCCACUCGGUCACUUCAACUAGGAUGUUUUGGCAACACAUCUGUCCCUUACUGGUUUGGUGAAUGCUCUGAUGAUAUCUGUAAUACUAGGCACCACAGAGUUUAUGGGCUCUGUGGUAGAUGCAAUCUUUGCUAAAGCAGCUUGGCCAGGGGCUCCCUGGAUACUGCCUCAAGGCUCUGGAGUGAGAGUUUUCAAGCAUUACAGGCACAGAUGUUUUGGAAAUCUAAAGAACUUAGAUUUUGUCCAAAGCAGUGGUCUGGAAGUGAUGACCUAUUUCCAACUAAUGUGGUAAUCCUUUUCAACUCAAUAUUUUAAAAAAUUCUGCACAUGCC